This 1260-nucleotide ribosomal RNA is filed under the name metagenome. Its description in RNAcentral is "SSU rRNA". It matches the Rfam family "Eukaryotic small subunit ribosomal RNA", at positions 198 to 1509 of the family's 1831-position model. The record is from RNAcentral.
GGGUGGUAUUUAUUAGACUGAAGCCAAUAUUCCUUGUGUCUAUUGCGGUGAUUCAUAAUAACUGAUCGAAUCUCUUUUUGAGAUAAAUCAUUCAAGUUUCUGCCCUAUCAGCUUUCGAUGGUAGUGUAUUGGACUACCAUGGCAGUAACGGGUAACGAAGAAUUAGGGUUCGAUUUCGGAGAGGGAGCAUGAGAAACGGCUACCACAUCUAAGGAAGGCAGCAGGCGCGUAAAUUACCCAAUCCUGACUCAGGGAGGUAGUGACAAGAAAUAGCAAACCGGGAACCUCAUGGUUUCACGGUAUUGCAAUGAGAACAAUUUAAAACCCUUAGCGAGAAUCAAGUGGAGGACAAGUCUGGUGCCAGCACCCGCGGUAAUUCCAGCUCCACUAGCGUAUAUUAAAGUUGUUGCAGUUAAAAAGCUCGUAGUUGAACCUCUGUCUGGGGCUAGUUUUGGCUUUGGUCAGGCUAGUUCUAGGCAUCCGCCUACAAGACUUAGAGGGCAUUCAGUUGCUCACUAGGAGGAGUAGGCAUUUUACUUUGAAAAAAUUAGAGUGUUUAAGGCAGGCAAUCGCCCGCAUAUAUUAGCAUGGAAUAAUAGAAUAGGACACUUUUCCAUUUCGUUGGUUAUUGGAAUCGUGUAAUGAUUAAUAGGGACAGUUGUGGGCAUUUGUAUUUAAUUGUCAGAGGUGAAAUUCUUGGAUUUAUUAAAGACAAACUAACGCGAAAGCAUUUGCCAAGGAUGUUUUCAUUAAUCAAGAACGAAAGUUAGGGGAUCAAAGACGAUCAGAUACCGUCCUAGUCUUAACUAUAAACUAUUCCGACUCAAUGUUUGACUGGCUUAUAUAACCAGUUGAGCGUUGUAUGAGAAAUCAAAGUCUUUAGGUUCUGGGGGGAGUAUGGUUGCAAAGCUGAAACUUAAAGGAAUUGACGGAAGAGCACAACCAGGAGUGGAUUCUGCGGCUUAAUUUGACUCAACACGGGGAAACUUACCAGGUUAAAACAAUAGUGGGAUUGACAGUUUGAGAGCGCUUUCUUGAUUGGUUGGGUGGUGGUGCAUGGCCGUUCUUAGUUGGUGGAGUGAUUUGUCUGCUUAAUUGCGUUAACGAACGAGACCUUAACCUGCUUACUAGACUGGCGAUCAUCAAUCGUUAGCUCUUCUUAGAGGGACUUUGGUUGUUUUAACUCCAAGGAAGUUUGAGGCAAUAACAGGUCUGUGAUGCCCUUAGAUAUCCUGGGCCGCACGCGUCAUACAAAGACUA